GCAAGUCGAACGAGAAAGUUUCUUCGGAAAUGAGUAAAGUGGCGCACGGGUGAGUAACGCGUAGAUAACCUGUCCAAGCGAUUGGGAUAGCCCUCCGAAAGGGGGAUUAAUACCGGAUACGUUGAUUGCUUUUAAGGGUAAUCAAGAAAGGCGGCCUCUAUUUAUAAGCUGUCGCGCAUGGAGGGGUCUGCGUACCAUUAGUUUGUUGGUGGGGUAAUGGCCUACCAAGACUACGAUGGUUAACGGGUCUGAGAGGAUGAUC
Molecule: ribosomal RNA, 262 nt
Filed under: uncultured bacterium
Lineage: Bacteria
Description: partial 16S ribosomal RNA
Rfam family: Bacterial small subunit ribosomal RNA
Source: RNAcentral